GCCAGGCAUGGUGGUACGUGCCUGUAGUCCCAGCUACUCAGGAAGCUGAGGUGGGAGGAGCACUUUAGUCUAGGAGUUUUGGGCUGUAGUGCGCAAUACUGAUGGGGUGUCUGCACUAAGUUCCACAUCAAUAUGGUGACCUCCCAGGAGUGGGGAACCACCAGGUUGCCUAAGGAGGGGUGAACCGGCCCAGGUCGGAAAUGGAGCAGGUCAAAACUCCCAUGCUGAUCAGUAGUGGGAUCCUGCCUGUGAAUAGCCACUGCACUCCAGCCUGGGCAACAUAGCAAGACCCUGUCUCU
Molecule: signal recognition particle RNA, 299 nt
Filed under: Aotus nancymaae (Ma's night monkey)
Lineage: Eukaryota; Metazoa; Chordata; Mammalia; Primates; Aotidae
Description: Metazoan signal recognition particle RNA (ENSANAG00000004077.1)
Rfam family: Metazoan signal recognition particle RNA
About the family: The signal recognition particle (SRP) is a universally conserved ribonucleoprotein.
Source: RNAcentral